RNAcentral lists this transfer RNA (71 nucleotides) under Salmonella enterica. RNAcentral's name for it is "tRNA-OTHER". The record is from RNAcentral. Lineage: Bacteria; Pseudomonadati; Pseudomonadota; Gammaproteobacteria; Enterobacterales; Enterobacteriaceae. RNAcentral also lists the same sequence under 2 other names.
GGAUCGUUUGGCCUCUUAUAAAGGGAUUGAAAAUCCCCGUGUCCUUGGUUCGAUUCCGAGUCCGGGCACCA